RNAcentral lists this ribosomal RNA (405 nucleotides) under uncultured bacterium. RNAcentral's name for it is "bacterial SSU rRNA". It matches the Rfam family "Bacterial small subunit ribosomal RNA", at positions 354 to 776 of the family's 1533-position model. The record is from RNAcentral.
GUGGGGAAUAUUGGACAAUGGGCGCAAGCCUGAUCCAGCCAUGCCGCGUGAGUGAUGACGGCCUUAGGGUUGUAAAGCUCUUUUACCUGGGAAGAUAAUGACGGUACCAGGAGAAUAAGCCCCGGCUAACUUCGUGCCAGCAGCCGCGGUAAUACGAAGGGGGCUAGCGUUGUUCGGAUUUACUGGGCGUAAAGGGCGCGUAGGCGGAUUGAUAAGUCAGGGGUGAAAUCCCAAGGCUCAACCUUGGAACUGCCUUUGAUACUGUUAGUCUUGAGUUCGAGAGAGGUAAGUGGAACUGCGAGUGUAGAGGUGAAAUUCGUAGAUAUUCGCAAGAACACCAGUGGCGAAGGCGGCUUACUGGCUCGAAACUGACGCUGAGGCGCGAAAGCGUGGGGAGCAAACAGG